CUUGUAUUGCCAACACUGCUGAUGUCUGAAAUAACCAUGGCCUAGGUAAGGUUUGAGUCGUAUAAUUCUUUUAUGUGCUAUAUUAAUCUGAAGUCUUUCUUAUCUGUGAAACGAGAGCAAAGAAAAGGAAGCAUUCGUCUUUAAAACAACCGACUACGCAGCAACAUGCAACCAUGUAUCUACCAUUAUCAUAAGGGUUUGUUAUUAGAAACACAGAGUUAAACAUCCGGAAUUGGCACAGCAGCAAAGCUUCAACUUCAAAAUAGUUGGAAGCCAUACAAGUAAUAGUAUUUAUUUAAAAUUUUACGCUUCUCAAUCUGAAGUUGAGUGCUGAGAAGCUCUUCCCGUAUUCAUAUAUAAUUGAAAUGUUCAAGUGAUGUGAACGAGGUAGGACAUCCAUUUAGAUCCAAAUCAUUCUAACAUCUAGAUAUCUUGCGUAGUUUGUCAUAAGUAAUCCCUCAAUCGUCCUCCAUUUUACUAUACCAUUCUAUUCCACAAAUUCAAAGUUAAUUCCAAUUACAAAGGGAACGGCCUCCUUGCGGAUAUUUAUUUAUUACGUAUAAAUUUAUCUUUGUUUAAUGUAUUUCUUUGAAAGUGAAAAUGCAGGCAGAACGAAACGGAAUCACUAAGAGCCGUUUUGGUCAGUGUGGGAACGGGGUGAAGUUAAAUCCGGCUAAGGUCUAAAGGCGAAGCCUUAAGCACGGGAUUUAUUUAAUAAAUUUACAAUUCGGGUGAUUUUUUUUUCUUAUUUCACAUCAUGUAAACUAUAUAUACACACCUUUUGAUUUUAUGCUUAAUAGGCUUUCUCGAAUAUACGCGGCGGAUGUUUUAAAAUUGCAUUAUGUCUGUAUAUUGGAGUAGGCCUAUCGUAGUUUAAAUCCCAGAAGUGUGUGAUUCAUUCCUCAUCAGGGCAAAACAUAUAGUUAACAAGAUGUCGAAUUCAGUUGUCGAUCGAGGAAGUUUUCAAUGCUUUCUGUUGAUUUCGUCGAAGGUUUUCGGCCGGAUUGCACUCAACUCGUCCCCAUACUGACCGAAAUGGCUCUGGAUGAUUUCGUUUGCUUUCCAACAGACAAACAUUCCAUCUAUUUCAAAGCGUGCUUUAUACUUGAGAAAACCGAAUACGCCUUGAUAGGUCUCUGCACGUGAGGCCGUUUCCCCUGUAGUUGGAAUGAAAUGGUAUGGUAGAAUGGAUGAAAAUUAGAUGAACUUGAAUUAACAGAUAUUUUUCUGGAUUUUUUUAUCGCACACAUCACGUACAGUCUACAUUUUUCAAUAGCAGUGGUACAUAUUAAUCUGUCCUGAUGGUGAAUUAAUAGAAAAUUCUGAUGUUCAAUAAUUCUUGAAAUGCACAAAACUUAUCUUCAAAGGAUUAAGAUUUUAGUUAGUGGUAAUCUUAAUAGCCAUGUUUUUCUUGAAUCGUUAUAAUAUUUUUCCCUUCCAGAUUACAUUAAAUCAAGGGAUUGCUCUCCUACUAUGAUUACAACAAGGAGUCACAUCAAUUCCAAACAAGUUAACAAUGAAGGUUUUAUGGAAAAGCACUAGCACGUAACCUGGAUGAGCCCGGCGGAUCUCCUUAGCCAAGGUUUAAAAUGUUUUCUCUGUCUGGCUGUUACGCAAAACAAGGGUGCGUGACACAUACUAAAUCGGGUUACUAAUAUUGAUGGAUUUACAUUGCGCCGGAAAAAUUGCAGCUAGCAUCAACAGCCGUUAAAUUUCCCAAGGAUCUACGUAGGCGUCUCCAAUUGGAUACGAAACAUCCUACUGACUGUCACCGUUUUACAAUCUGCUGAAAGGUAAUAAACGUUAUUCUUGUUAGACUACUCGGUAUUCUCCUGCGUGUUAUUCCGCGCUAUCCGAUUCAGUUUUCUCUGGGCUAUUUUGAGCGUGUUUUAUACUUUUUACGUUCAAUCGUCUGACUCUGGGGACGAGCGCAAAAAACUAAAAUGUCGUUCUUUUUGGUCAAUAUCUUCAUUAAAUUGGUAUUAGCGCAAAGGGCACACAGGCGUUCGCAAUACCGAACCGAUUGUUUUAUAUGUAAAUGUCGUGUUUUUGUAUCAUGUUGUGUGACCGACAGUUGAUCUUCUAGUAAUUCGUUGUUUUGACUUAACCUUGUCAUUUUGUAUUUUCAUUUUCUAACCGAGAAGACACAAGAAAAACCUGGU
Daphnia carinata is the source of this 2162-nucleotide long non-coding RNA. RefSeq lists it as uncharacterized. The transcript has 3 exons. NCBI's taxonomy places the organism in Eukaryota, Metazoa, Arthropoda, Branchiopoda, Diplostraca, Daphniidae. The record is from RefSeq and is a predicted model, not a curated record.